RNAcentral lists this long non-coding RNA (656 nucleotides) under Helianthus annuus (common sunflower). Lineage: Eukaryota; Viridiplantae; Streptophyta; Magnoliopsida; Asterales; Asteraceae. The record is from RNAcentral.
AUGAGGAACUUGAUUUUCAUAUGCAUGUGGGCACAGGAGCAAGUCCGUGAACAGGUCAGUACUUCCGUACAGCAGAGAGACGAACUUGACUCCCGGAAAAAUGAGGGCACAGGAGCAAGUCCGUGAACAGGUCAGUACUUCCGUACAGCAGAGAGACGAACUUGACUCCCGGAUAAAUGUGAUAUUUUAUCACUUAUUUGAUUUGGACAUGUGAUUGUUUAUCACUUAUUGAGGUCGAAUGCAGUAUGCAAUAUGUACACGUAUGUAUAGUAUCAUGGAAGAUCUAGACUUGCGUCCCCGUUAUUUUUCGGUAAAAGAUAUAACCAUGAUACCCAGAUGAUAAGCAGCAUAAAGACCGAAUAUCUCAGAACCUCGGCAAUCUAUCAAACGAAAUUUCGGUACUAAGACCAUAUGCCAAUGAAUGGUUCCCACCUGGUCUUCAGUCGAUUAAGAUUUAUAUCACCCUGCACACUUUAAAAUGAUUGUGAGCCUACCGAUACAUCUUAUAUAGAGCUGCUUAUCGUUUUUCAUUUAAGGUUUAAAGAGGUUUGGAUAGACCACUGAUGUACUAUCACUUUCUCUUUUGCUCGCCAGGAAACUCAUUUUUGUUUUUCUAUUGUUUUUGUGUUUUUGAAAUUUUUCGAUGUUUUUGGAUU